UGGCCCAAUGAUGAUCAAAAGAUGUGCUUAGAGAGAACAGGACUAACAUUUCAAGGUCCAGGCAUUUCUGUGCUUUUCCUUGCCCUAUCUUUCUCUCCUUCCUUCUUUCCUUCAACUUUUUUUCUUUAACUUUCUUUGUUUUUCUGCCUAGACUGAGAUUGUGUGUCCUUCUCAAUGACGGUAAGAUUAUGAGAUCUGAGGGCUA
This 205-nucleotide small nucleolar RNA is filed under the name Phascolarctos cinereus (koala). Its description in RNAcentral is "Small nucleolar RNA SNORD97 (ENSPCIG00000000407.2)". It matches the Rfam family "Small nucleolar RNA SNORD97". Lineage: Eukaryota; Metazoa; Chordata; Mammalia; Diprotodontia; Phascolarctidae. The record is from Rfam by way of RNAcentral.